CGAAUGCUGACAUAAGUAACGAUAAAGCGGGUGAAAAGCCCGCUCGCCGGAAGACCAAGGGUUCCUGUCCAACGUUAAUCGGGGCAGGGUGAGUCGACCCCUAAGGCGAGGCCGAAAGGCGUAGUCGAUGGGAAACAGGUUAAUAUUCCUGUACUUGGUGUUACUGCGAAGGGGGGACGGAGAAGGCUAUGUUGGCCGGGCGACGGUUGUCCCGGUUUAAGCGUGUAGGCUGGUUUUCCAGGCAAAUCCGGAAAAUCAAGGCUGAGGCGUGAUGACGAGGCACUACGGUGCUGAAGCAACAAAUGCCCUGCUUCCAGGAAAAGCCUCUAAGCAUCAGGUAACAUUAAAUCGUACCCCAAACCGACACAGGUGGUCAGGUAGAGAAUACCAAGGCGCUUGAGAGAACUCGGGUGAAGGAACUAGGCAAAAUGGUGCCGUAACUUCGGGAGAAGGCACGCUGAUAUGUAGGUGAAGUCCCUCGCGGAUGGAGCUGAAAUCAGUCGAAGAUACCAGCUGGCUGCAACUGUUUAUUAAAAACACAGCACUGUGCAAACACGAAAGUGGACGUAUACGGUGUGACGCCUGCCCGGUGCCGGAAGGUUAAUUGAUGGGGUUAGCGGUAACGCGAAGCUCUUGAUCGAAGCCCCGGUAAACGGCGGCCGUAACUAUAACGGUCCUAAGGUAGCGAAAUUCCUUGUCGGGUAAGUUCCGACCUGCACGAAUGGCGUAAUGAUGGCCAGGCUGUCUCCACCCGAGACUCAGUGAAAUUGAACUCGCUGUGAAGAUGCAGUGUACCCGCGGCAAGACGGAAAGACCCCGUGAACCUUUACUAUAGCUUGACACUGAACAUUGAGCCUUGAUGUGUAGGAUAGGUGGGAGGCUUUGAAGUGUGGACGCCAGUCUGCAUGGAGCCGACCUUGAAAUACCACCCUUUAAUGUUUGAUGUUCUAACGUUGACCCGUAAUCCGGGUUGCGGACAGUGUCUGGUGGGUAGUUUGACUGGGGCGGUCUCCUCCUAAAGAGUAACGGAGGAGCACGAAGGUUGGCUAAUCCUGGUCGGACAUCAGGAGGUUAGUGCAAUGGCAUAAGCCAGCUUGACUGCGAGCGUGACGGCGCGAGCAGGUGCGAAAGCAGGUCAUAGUGAUCCGGUGGUUCUGAAUGGAAGGGCCAUCGCUCAACGGAUAAAAGGUACUCCGGGGAUAACAGGCUGAUACCGCCCAAGAGUUCAUAUCGACGGCGGUGUUUGGCACCUCGAUGUCGGCUCAUCACAUCCUGGGGCUGAAGUAGGUCCCAAGGGUAUGGCUGUUCGCCAUUUAAAGUGGUACGCGAGCUGGGUUUAGAACGUCGUGAGACAGUUCGGUCCCUAUCUGCCGUGGGCGCUGGAGAACUGAGGGGGGCUGCUCCUAGUACGAGAGGACCGGAGUGGACGCAUCACUGGUGUUCGGGUUGUCAUGCCAAUGGCACUGCCCGGUAGCUAAAUGCGGAAGAGAUAAGUGCUGAAAGCAUCUAAGCACGAAACUUGCCCCGAGAUGAGUUCUCCCUGACUCCUUGAGAGUCCUGAAGGAACGUUGA
Molecule: ribosomal RNA, 1572 nt
Filed under: Escherichia coli
Lineage: Bacteria; Pseudomonadati; Pseudomonadota; Gammaproteobacteria; Enterobacterales; Enterobacteriaceae
Description: partial 23S ribosomal RNA
Rfam family: Bacterial large subunit ribosomal RNA
Source: RNAcentral